This 867-nucleotide long non-coding RNA is filed under the name Sus scrofa (pig). RNAcentral's name for it is "lncRNA (ENSSSCG00070002485.1)". The record is from RNAcentral. Lineage: Eukaryota; Metazoa; Chordata; Mammalia; Artiodactyla; Suidae.
UACUACUUCCUGGUGUGUACCAAAGAAUUGAACUAUAGAAGAAAUAAGUCUACAUAGAUUUUUUUUCAUUUCCUCAAUAAUCUCUUUUAAGUGUUUUAAUUUAAACCCAAACAGAUUUCAGGCAAGAUGAAGAUUUGUGUCCAAGAUUGUCUUCUAUCCCACAUGAGAGUACUCAAAUGCAACUGUUUUCUCUCUCACUUCCAGGAGUGUAGUUUAUAAAGAAGAAGGUGAAGUGGAUCUUCAAAUCUUUCUUCAAAUUCCUUCCACUGAUUACAGAGGAAUAAAGAGAAAAAAAGAAGUGACCCGAAGUAUUUUCUAAGAAAAUUAUGGACAACUUAUUGUAAAUAGAAGAACAGAAUUCAGAAAUUUGGAUCUCGUUAGAGCCUCUUGGAUGGAGGAGACAGAUUCCCUCAAGUCUGGGUGUUAUUUCCAGAGGAAUGAUGAAGGAGAAAUCUAGCAAAAUAAAAACAGAUCUCAUACACAGCUAUAGGGUUUCCUCAGAGAUUUCACCCUGGAAUCCAAAGGAUUUGAAGAAGCUGAACUUCUCCCACUUCUUUGAUGCUCAUCAAAAAUCUUGUCUUUUAAAGCAGUCAAGGAAAUAAAUAUUCCUACCCACUCUCCCAAAUGUGUUUCCUUUAGGGAAGACUCUUAAUGAAACCCAGGCUACAUUUAAAGCCACAGUAGCAAAAUAUUUUAUUUUAAAAGAAAGUUAUAUUAAAUACAUUUAGAUAAAAUUAUGUGGCUAAGACAGAGGACAAGAGGCAUGAAAGUUGUCUUUAAUAUUAAAGUGCUACCACAUGGAAACAGGAUUAAAACAAUUCUGAGCUGCUUCUCAGAGAAUAAAUUAACCAGUGGUUGAGAUGGGCA